This is an RNA transcript of Girardinichthys multiradiatus, 1886 nucleotides long. It is a transcript of the gene named butyrophilin subfamily 2 member A2-like, with no coding region annotated. The record is from RefSeq and is a predicted model, not a curated record. The transcript has 6 exons. NCBI's taxonomy places the organism in Eukaryota, Metazoa, Chordata, Actinopteri, Cyprinodontiformes, Goodeidae.
CUUUGACCUCUGAAGGUUUUGAAGAAGAAAGAAGACAUGGUACAGCAGACAGUUUCUUAUCUUCAGGAUGGUCCACAUGCCACAGAGGUCAUCUUUAAAACCUUCAUUCAAAAAGGUUCUGAUUACUGAGCUCAUUAUUGGGUUCCUUCUCCUGCUAUACACCUGCAAAGUUCGGUCCAUGGAGACGAAUCAGCCUCAGCUCGUCACAGCUAUGGUUGGUGAUGACGUUGUUCUGCCGUGUCACCUGGAGGUUACUCUAAACUCUGAUGAGUUGGUGGUGGAAUGGGGGAGACUUGACCUGAACCCCAGAUUUGUGUGUCUGUGGUUUGAAGGGAGUGAAUAUACAGAUGAACAAAACACCGCCUACUCAAGGGAAGAACGUCAUUCUUCAGCAACAGACUGAAGGAUGGAGAUGUUUCACUGAGAUGUAAGACACUCUGACAACGGAAGAUUCAGAUGCUACAAUCCAAAAAAGAUUAAAGAAUAUUUUGUUGACCUUAUUGUUGGUUCCUAAGGUGGGAGGCACCUGACUCCUUCAGCGGUUCUGUCUCCUCACCUGGUAUCAGUUUAGCAGGACUUGAUAACAGCAGCUAUGGAGUGAUGUUGGACUGCAGCUCUGCAGGCUGGUAUCCAGAACCUGAUGUCUUCUGGCUGGACGGGGAGGGAAACAUCAUGUCUGCUGGACCUACAGAUAAAGUUAGAGGUUCUGAUGGUCUCUACAGGGUCAGCAGCAGAGUGACUGUGGAGAAGAGACACAACAACAACGUUACCUGUAGAGUCCAACAGAAGGACAUCAACCAGACCUGAGAGACACAUAUUUUUGUUCAUGGUAAAGACGUCAGAGAAACAUCUGAUCACUAAAACAUGGAGUCAUUAUUUAUUAAACAGUUUUUUCUUUAACCGUGUUUCAGAUGAUUUCUUUGGAGCCCGAUCUGACUGCAUUCUCCUUCUCUGUUUAAAUGGAGUUUUGGGUCUCAUUCUUCUUCUGCUAGUUUUUAUUUUCAUCUUGAAACAGGGACAAACUAAAAUCUCAAUAAAGAAACUAAAAGAAAAAGUGAAUGAAGAGCAACAGCAGCUCAUGGCCGAAGAAAAACAGAAUCUGGCUCAGAAAAAGUCAAAACUAGAGGAGGAGAUAAAAAAUAGAAACAAGGAUCAGAGAAGCAUUGAUCAGUAUAUUGAAGCAUUCACGAAAAUGUCAGAGGAACUGAAGGACCAGAAAAUACAACUCGCUGAUCAAAAAGAGGAGGCAGAGAAGAUGGUUGAAGAGGAUGAGAGGAAGCUUAAGGCAGUUGAUGACGAAGUAGGGAACCAGACGGGGAACAUGAAAGAAAAGAGAGCUCAAAGAUACUUAAAACUGAAAGAACUCAUAACAGAGAGCAAUGACAGACUGGAUAAGAUAAAGAAAGGUCAUCAACAUGUGGAGCUGAUGACAGAGAAACUGAUGGGUAGAUGGUGAUGAGGUCACCAAGCUGAAGAAGAGAAAACAGGAAAUAGAGAACCAUGUAGUGGAAAUACAAAAACAACUGCAGGAAAUUGAGAAAUGGAAGUGAUUUAUUUUCAGAAAAAAAGCAAACCAUUUGAACUUUUUUCUGUUACAAUAUCUACUCGUCUCAAUCUAAUAUUUAUGAGCAUUGUGGGUAUGUUGGAUAUUAUAUGACCUUAUUCAGAUGCAGAGAAUUUAGAGAUUACAGCGCAAACAGCCUGAAUGUUAAAUCAUCCUAAAAGAUUAUCUGAAGACACCAAUUACUGUUUAAACAGCAAGAAAGCACUGGUGAUUUAAAAUAUAUGCUUAAAAAAUUAGAAUAAUUAUUUGUUUUAUGUUUUGCAGCAGUUUAAAAGUAUGCCGUUUUGUAUUUAAUAAACACCUUUAUUAAUCUACAAAAAAA